AAAUUGAAGAGUUUGAUCAUGGCUCAGAUUGAACGCUGGCGGCAGGCCUAACACAUGCAAGUCGAACGGUAACAGAAAGCAGCUUGCUGCUUUGCUGACGAGUGGCGGACGGGUGAGUAAUGUCUGGGAAACUGCCUGAUGGAGGGGGAUAACUACUGGAAACGGUAGCUAAUACCGCAUAACGUCGCAAGACCAAAGAGGGGGACCUUCGGGCCUCUUGCCAUCGGAUGUGCCCAGAUGGGAUUAGCUUGUUGGUGGGGUAACGGCUCACCAAGGCGACGAUCCCUAGCUGGUCUGAGAGGAUGACCAGCCACACUGGAACUGAGACACGGUCCAGACUCCUACGGGAGGCAGCAGUGGGGAAUAUUGCACAAUGGGCGCAAGCCUGAUGCAGCCAUGCCGCGUGUAUGAAGAAGGCCUUCGGGUUGUAAAGUACUUUCAGCGGGGAGGAAGGGAGUAAAGUUAAUACCUUUACUCAUUGACGUUACCCGCAGAAGAAGCACCGGCUAACUCCGUGCCAGCAGCCGCGGUAAUACGGAGGGUGCAAGCGUUAAUCGGAAUUACUGGGCGUAAAGCGCACGCAGGCGGUUUGUUAAGUCAGAUGUGAAAUCCCCGGGCUCAACCUGGGAACUGCAUCUGAUACUGGCAAGCUUGAGUCUCGUAGAGGGGGGUAGAAUUCCAGGUGUAGCGGUGAAAUGCGUAGAGAUCUGGAGGAAUACCGGUGGCGAAGGCGGCCCCCUGGACGAAGACUGACGCUCAGGUGCGAAAGCGUGGGGAGCAAACAGGAUUAGAUACCCUGGUAGUCCACGCCGUAAACGAUGUCGACUUGGAGGUUGUGCCCUUGAGGCGUGGCUUCCGGAGCUAACGCGUUAAGUCGACCGCCUGGGGAGUACGGCCGCAAGGUUAAAACUCAAAUGAAUUGACGGGGGCCCGCACAAGCGGUGGAGCAUGUGGUUUAAUUCGAUGCAACGCGAAGAACCUUACCUGGUCUUGACAUCCACGGAAGUUUUCAGAGAUGAGAAUGUGCCUUCGGGAACCGUGAGACAGGUGCUGCAUGGCUGUCGUCAGCUCGUGUUGUGAAAUGUUGGGUUAAGUCCCGCAACGAGCGCAACCCUUAUCCUUUGUUGCCAGCGGUCCGGCCGGGAACUCAAAGGAGACUGCCAGUGAUAAACUGGAGGAAGGUGGGGAUGACGUCAAGUCAUCAUGGCCCUUACGACCAGGGCUACACACGUGCUACAAUGGCGCAUACAAAGAGAAGCGACCUCGCGAGAGCAAGCGGACCUCAUAAAGUGCGUCGUAGUCCGGAUUGGAGUCUGCAACUCGACUCCAUGAAGUCGGAAUCGCUAGUAAUCGUGGAUCAGAAUGCCACGGUGAAUACGUUCCCGGGCCUUGUACACACCGCCCGUCACACCAUGGGAGUGGGUUGCAAAAGAAGUAGGUAGCUUAACCUUCGGGAGGGCGCUUACCACUUUGUGAUUCAUGACUGGGGUGAAGUCGUAACAAGGUAACCGUAGGGGAACCUGCGGUUGGAUCACCUCCUUACCUUAAAGAAGC
RNAcentral lists this ribosomal RNA (1554 nucleotides) under Escherichia coli. Its description in RNAcentral is "bacterial SSU rRNA". It matches the Rfam family "Bacterial small subunit ribosomal RNA". Lineage: Bacteria; Pseudomonadati; Pseudomonadota; Gammaproteobacteria; Enterobacterales; Enterobacteriaceae. The record is from RNAcentral.